UCGGGUUCAUAGCAGCAGGCCGCUUACACUGCAAGAUUGACAAGGUUGGAGGCAUUGUUGAGACCAACAGACCAGACAGCAAGAACUGGCAGUAUCAGGAGACAAUCAAGAAGGGAGAUCUAUUACUGAAUCGUGUGCAGAAACUAAGUCGAGUGAUCAACAUUUAGUGUCAAAGAUGGAAUAGCAACUUAGAAAUCUGAUUUUAAGCGCAAAUUUCUUCUGUGCGAUGAAAACUGUGGAACAUAAGGAAAUACUGUCUGUAUUCAUCAGGAAAAGCAAAACACGCUUGUGUUCCUUUAUUUAGAAAGCAUUAUUGUGUUAUUCAUGUGAAAUUCAUUGCUUUCAAAUAUGGUGAAAUUGUUCAUUAAACGCAACACAUGCAAAA
Long non-coding RNA from Dreissena polymorpha, 385 nucleotides. RefSeq lists it as uncharacterized. The record is from RefSeq and is a predicted model, not a curated record. The transcript has 2 exons. Lineage: Eukaryota; Metazoa; Mollusca; Bivalvia; Myida; Dreissenidae.